Juglans microcarpa x Juglans regia is the source of this 341-nucleotide long non-coding RNA. RefSeq lists it as uncharacterized. NCBI's taxonomy places the organism in Eukaryota, Viridiplantae, Streptophyta, Magnoliopsida, Fagales, Juglandaceae. The transcript is spliced from 2 exons. The record is from RefSeq and is a predicted model, not a curated record.
CUUUUCACAGGCCAUCAGAUUAUUUUAUGAUUUUCAUCAACUUCCCAUCUCUCUUUCCCUCGUUCUUUUCUCUAUCUUCGUACCUGCAAACUUCCUCGCCCUCUUCUCUCACUCGUUUGUCCCUCCUCUCCCUUGGUUGUCUUCUUCCCUGUCCUCUUCUAGGCCAAACGGCUACUACUUAGGUCGGGAAAAAUGGUGGUGGGGGCCUUGGCGUUCGGAUUCCUAACCUUGCCACACGAUUGAAGCCGUUUCUCGAGAAAGCUAAAGAAACCCUAAAAAAAUCUGACCCCCCAUUCUCUAGUUGUAGUGCAAGGGAAUUAUGAAGAUCCAACGUUUAAGUU